GCCCUACGGGAGGCUGCAGUGGGGAAUAUUGGACAAUGGGCGCAAGCCUGAUCCAGCAAUGCCGCGUGGGUGAAGAAGGCCUUCGGGUUGUAAAGCCCUUUUGUACGGGAAGAAAUCAUCCGGGUUAAUACCCUGGGUGGAUGACGGUACCGUAAGAAUAAGCACCGGCUAACUUCGUGCCAGCAGCCGCGGUAAUACGAAGGGUGCAAGCGUUAAUCGGAAUUACUGGGCGUAAAGCGUGCGUAGGUGGUUGUUCAAGUCUGUCGUGAAAGCCCUGGGCUCAACCUGGGAAUGGCGAUGGAAACUGGGCGACUGGAGUGCGGUAGAGGAUGGCGGAAUUCCCGGUGUAGCGGUGAAAUGCGUAGAGAUCGGGAGGAACAUCCGUGGCGAAGGCGGCCAUCUGGACCAGCACUGACACUGAGGCACGAAAGCGUGGGGAGCAAACAGGAUUAGAUACCCCGGUAGUC
This 467-nucleotide ribosomal RNA is filed under the name uncultured Lysobacteraceae bacterium. RNAcentral's name for it is "bacterial SSU rRNA". It matches the Rfam family "Bacterial small subunit ribosomal RNA", at positions 335 to 795 of the family's 1533-position model. The record is from RNAcentral. Lineage: Bacteria; Pseudomonadati; Pseudomonadota; Gammaproteobacteria; Lysobacterales; Lysobacteraceae.